UGAGUGAUUGCAUCACAGUUUUGUAACUUUCAUUUUACUUAUAGAAUUUGUCUUUUGUUUUUUUUUUUCCCCCUUGUAAGCUUUGAUGAACUAAGCCAUCAUAUGCAGAGUUACACAGUGCAAACAACUAAGGGUGGCAUCUUGCUGAAAGAUAGCAAGGAGCUAAUGCCCUCAGUCUGACAGCCCACCAGUAACUGAAUCACACCAAUACCCAUGUGAAAUAGGAAGCAGAUUCUUCCCCAGUUGAACCUGAAAUCAAAUCUGAGUCCUGGACUGCAUAGCAAUUGAAGUAUUGUAAGAGACCCUAAAGGAACAUGGAGAUAUUCCCUUGUUUACAUCUAUGGUUAAUGUCGUGUUGCAGUGGCAGAGAUGAGAGUCCCUACACUGGGUUUGUUUCUUGAGAUGGCUGUCUACUGCAGCUGCAGACAUCAACCAAUGGUAUGUAUCAAGUAAUUUAACUUUUUCUUGCAAUGCAAUGACUUUUCUCAGCUUAUUGGGAAAACCUCCAGCAUCACUAGUGACAUUUUAUGUGGGUCCCAUGAUGUUAUUUAAGAUUUAAGGUAUUUCACUAAAUGUGAUUUAUAUGGUGAGAACUCUGUGAGAUCACUUUUUACCAUUAUACACAAAUUCACUGGAGAAACAAGAGAUAGUAUCAUACAGCACUUUAAGUGUCUAUUUGCAACUUUUGAGCUUAUUGC
Chlorocebus sabaeus (green monkey) is the source of this 698-nucleotide non-coding RNA. The record is from RefSeq and is a predicted model, not a curated record. NCBI's taxonomy places the organism in Eukaryota, Metazoa, Chordata, Mammalia, Primates, Cercopithecidae.